CUAAAACGCCGGAGGUUGAAAAAGUGGCAGGGCAGCCAGUAACAGUCCUCAGUGAGAAGACACCAGAAACAGCACAAUCUGUUCUAAUCCCUGAGUCUGAAUUGCUUUUGAGCUCUUUAGCUCCAAAAGGGUCCCCAGAGUUUCCUGAGGCGAAAACAGCCUUCCCAUCCGAGAAACCUGGGGGUUCCCUGGCUUCAAGUGAAGAGCCAUGGGUGGUACCUGGAGCUAAAACAUCUGAAGAUUCCAGAGUUGUGCAGCCUCGAACUGCUCCCAGGCAGACAACCAGCCCGCCUCCCAAGCUCAAACCACCACACUCAAGAAGGCCAGCAAAAGAGCAAGUUCCAAAAGAUGAACAACUUUCCCAUAAACCAGAUCCUGAGGUCUCUCAAAGUGAAACUGUUCUGCCUCCUGUCACCUUUAGAGUUGAGCCACCAAAGACAACAAUAGUGCCUUUAGAGACACGGGACAUUCCUCUCAUACCUGUGAUUUCACCAAGACCUAGUGAAGAGGAACUACAAACCACCAUGGAACAAACAGACCAGUCUACCCAAGAGCUCUUCACAACUAAGAUUCCACGAACAACUGAACUGGCAAAGACAACUCAGG
RNAcentral lists this long non-coding RNA (606 nucleotides) under Rattus norvegicus (Norway rat). Its description in RNAcentral is "long non-coding RNA NONRATT006945". Lineage: Eukaryota; Metazoa; Chordata; Mammalia; Rodentia; Muridae. The record is from RNAcentral.